AUGGCUUGAUAUGCUCUCUUCUCAAUUUAUCGCCACUCCGCAAGUCGAUGCCUCUCAGCUUGGCUAUGUUUAGAACACAGGCUAGAUGAAGAUAAGAUUAUGGAGUCAUCAAAUGGCAGCCUGUGAGAGGUGACAUAGGACCUUGCAGAUCCUCUUGCCAAACCUUCAGAUAUCGAUGAGCCUCAGAGAGACUUGCUCAUUUGCCGCCAAGCCAGAUCUGCUGACUCCAGGACCACAGCUGGAGUCAGGAGCUUUGACCUCUGUGAAGCCAUCCAGCCCACCCCAUAAGGAUUCUCCCUAUGGUGUUAUUGAACCCUUCAUUUUAACCUUCAUGAAGCUGGUGUUUUAGGUAUUUGGGAAGUCAGUUGGAGCAGCAGAAAUGGCAGAGUUUGCAGCUGAGAUGGCCUCUCAUGACUGAGUUUUUUCCCAAAAUGAUGUUGAAUUCCCUAGAUUUAUCCUAAUGGAGAUUCGUGCUCUCCUCAGAUGCUGAAACUGGCCCAGAAGUAACAAGUACAUAUUUGGCCCCAAAUCAUAUUAGUGGUUAGUGGCAGUGCUGGAUUGAGACAAGAACUUUUACUUUCAGCGUCUCUCUACCACCCUGGAACUGUAUUAUAUGGUAACUACUACCAGCACAACCACAAUAAAUAUUUACUGAGUACAGGACAAAGGACUUUAUAUGCAUUAUUUCAUUUAACACAAGUUCAAAAAUGGUGAUCUUCAUGGUGUGGUACUAAGGCCAGCAGUU
Molecule: long non-coding RNA, 745 nt
Filed under: Homo sapiens (human)
Lineage: Eukaryota; Metazoa; Chordata; Mammalia; Primates; Hominidae
Description: HSALNT0350260
Source: RNAcentral